RNAcentral lists this transfer RNA (71 nucleotides) under Caenorhabditis briggsae. Its description in RNAcentral is "tRNA-Ala (AGC) (tRNA-Ala-AGC-6-1)". It matches the Rfam family "tRNA". From Rfam's summary of the family: Transfer RNA (tRNA) molecules are approximately 80 nucleotides in length. Their secondary structure includes four short double-helical elements and three loops (D, anti-codon, and T loops). The record is from RNAcentral. RNAcentral also lists the same sequence under 1 other name. Lineage: Eukaryota; Metazoa; Nematoda; Chromadorea; Rhabditida; Rhabditidae.
GGGGUAUAGCUCAGUGGUAGAGCGCUCCCUUAGCAUGGGAGAGGGCUGGGGUUCAAUUCCCCAUACCUCCA